UAACGCGUGAGGAACCUGCCUCAAAGAGGGGGACAACAGUUGGAAACGACUGCUAAUACCGCAUAAGCCCACAGCUCGGCAUCGAGCAGAGGGAAAAGGAGUGAUCCGCUUUGAGAUGGCCUCGCGCCGAUUAGCUAGUUGGUGAGGUAAUGGCCCACCAAGGCGACAUCGGUAGCCGGACUGAGAGGUUGAACGGCCACAUUGGGACUGAGACACGGCCCAG
Molecule: ribosomal RNA, 223 nt
Filed under: uncultured bacterium
Lineage: Bacteria
Description: partial 16S ribosomal RNA
Rfam family: Bacterial small subunit ribosomal RNA
Source: RNAcentral